RNAcentral lists this ribosomal RNA (624 nucleotides) under Escherichia coli. RNAcentral describes it as "bacterial LSU rRNA". It matches the Rfam family "Bacterial large subunit ribosomal RNA", at positions 614 to 1239 of the family's 2925-position model. The record is from RNAcentral. Lineage: Bacteria; Pseudomonadati; Pseudomonadota; Gammaproteobacteria; Enterobacterales; Enterobacteriaceae.
AAUGGGUCAGCGACUUAUAUUCUGUAGCAAGGUUAACCGAAUAGGGGAGCCGAAGGGAAACCGAGUCUUAACUGGGCGUUAAGUUGCAGGGUAUAGACCCGAAACCCGGUGAUCUAGCCAUGGGCAGGUUGAAGGUUGGGUAACACUAACUGGAGGACCGAACCGACUAAUGUUGAAAAAUUAGCGGAUGACUUGUGGCUGGGGGUGAAAGGCCAAUCAAACCGGGAGAUAGCUGGUUCUCCCCGAAAGCUAUUUAGGUAGCGCCUCGUGAAUUCAUCUCCGGGGGUAGAGCACUGUUUCGGCAAGGGGGUCAUCCCGACUUACCAACCCGAUGCAAACUGCGAAUACCGGAGAAUGUUAUCACGGGAGACACACGGCGGGUGCUAACGUCCGUCGUGAAGAGGGAAACAACCCAGACCGCCAGCUAAGGUCCCAAAGUCAUGGUUAAGUGGGAAACGAUGUGGGAAGGCCCAGACAGCCAGGAUGUUGGCUUAGAAGCAGCCAUCAUUUAAAGAAAGCGUAAUAGCUCACUGGUCGAGUCGGCCUGCGCGGAAGAUGUAACGGGGCUAAACCAUGCACCGAAGCUGCGGCAGCGACACUAUGUGUUGUUGGGUAGGGGAGCGU